Molecule: ribosomal RNA, 1449 nt
Filed under: uncultured Bordetella sp.
Lineage: Bacteria; Pseudomonadati; Pseudomonadota; Betaproteobacteria; Burkholderiales; Alcaligenaceae
Description: partial 16S-23S ribosomal RNA intergenic spacer
Rfam family: Bacterial small subunit ribosomal RNA
Source: RNAcentral
AGUUCGAUUCUGGCCUAGAUUGAACGCUGGCGGGAUGCUUUACACAUGCAAGUCGAACGGCAGCACGGACUUCGGUCUGGUGGCGAGGGCGAACGGGUGAGUAAUGUAUCGGAACGUGCCUAGUAGCGGGGGAUAACUACGAAAGUUAUAGCUAAUACCGUAUAUUGCCCUUCGGGGAAAGCGGGGACCUUCGGGCCUCACCUAUUAGAGCGGCCGAUAUCGGAUUAGCUAGUUGGUGGGGUAACGGCUCACCACGAUGAUCCGUAGCUGGUUUGAGAGACGACCAGCCACACUGGGAUCUGGAGAUAUGGCCCACGACUCCUACGGGAGGCAAGGGGAAUUUUACUUGGGGAAACCCUGAUCCGCGCUGAUCCGGUGUGGUAUGAAGGCCUUCGGUUGUAAAGCACUUUUAGUGGGAAGAAACGGCACGGGAUAAUACCCCGCAACUGACGGUACGCAGAAUAAGCACCGGCUAACUACGUGCCAGCAGCCGCGGUAAUACGUAGGGUGCAAGCGUUAAUCGGAAUUACUGGGCGUAAAGCGUGCGGCAGGCGGUUCGGAAAGAAAGAUGUGAAAUCCCAGAGCUUAACUUUGAACUGCAUUUUUAACUACCGAGCUAGAGGCCAGAGGAGGUGGAAUUCCGCGUAGCAGUGAAAUGCGUAGAUAUGCGGAGGAACACCGAUGGCGAAGGCAGCCUCCUGGGAUAACACUGAUGCUCAUGCACGAAAGCGUGGGGAGCAAACAGGAUUAGAUACCCUGGUAGUCCACGCCUAAAACGAUGUCAACUAGCCGUUGGGGCCUUCGGGCCUUGGUAGCGCAGCUAACGCGGUGAAGUUGACCGCCUGGGGAGUACGGUCGCAAGAUUAAAACUCAAAGGAAUUGACGGGACCGCACGCCGGUGGAUGAUGUGGAUUAAUUCGAUGCAACGCGAAAACCUUACCUACCCUUGACAUGUCUGAAUCCAAAGACGGGGAGUGCUCGCAAGAGAACCGAACACAGGUGCUGCAUGGUUGUCGUCAGCUCGUGUCGUGAUGUUGGGUUAAGUCCCGCAACGAGCGCAACCCUUGUAUUACAUGCUACGAAGGCACUCUAUCGAGACUGCCGGUGACAAACCGGAGGAAGGUGGGGAUGACGUCAUCUCAUGGCCCUUAUGGGUAGGGCUUCUACAUCAUACAAUGGUCGGGACAGGAGGGUCGCCAACCCGCAGAGGAGCUAAUCCCAGAAACCCGAUCGUAGUCCGGAUCGCAGUCUGCAACUCGACUGCGUGAAGUCGGAAUCGCUAGUAAUCGCGGAUCAGCAUGUCGCGGUGAAUACGUUCCCGGGUCUUGUACACACCCUCGCCCGUCACACCGGCGGAGUGGGUUUUACCAGAAGUAGUUAGCCUAACCGUAAGGAGGGCGAUUACCACGGUAGGAUUCAUGCAGACUGGGUGAAGUCGUAACAAGGUAA